GGGGAGGAGCUCACAGCGCCACCUGCUGCUCGUUGAGGACAAUGCACAAUGAGGGACGUCUGCAGAGACUGAGAAAGAGUCUCACCACAUCCUGACAUGAGGAAAAAGACUUUAUUGAAGACUGCAAUGAGAAAAACUAUCAGACAGCAGACGGCUGCAUUCAAGGUGAGCUCUGAACAUUUGAUCUGGAACAGGAAUUCAAUAACAGCAGCAUGAGCUUCAUUUCAGUCUGUAGCUGCUGAAUUCAUGGAUGAAUCAUCUGGCACUAGAGAGGAAGACCAUCAAACAUCCACGUCAGCUGAUGGAGGUCCAAGAGUCUCACCAAACAAACAACCUACAGAGUGAAGACCUCAAAUCUGAUUGGACGGCCUCCUAUUCAGCCACAUGUGUGAACAAAUGCCUCUAAGCUGAUUUGUUUUCUAAAAUAAAUCUAGUUUCAGUCCUAA
This is a long non-coding RNA of Amphiprion ocellaris (clown anemonefish), 446 nucleotides long. RefSeq lists it as uncharacterized. The transcript is spliced from 2 exons. NCBI's taxonomy places the organism in Eukaryota, Metazoa, Chordata, Actinopteri, Pomacentridae. The record is from RefSeq and is a predicted model, not a curated record.